AUUGAACGCUGGCGGCAGGCCUAACACAUGCAAGUCGAACGUGUGGCGGACGGGUGAGUAAUGUCUGGGAAACUGCCUGAUGGAGGGGGAUAACUACUGGAAACGGUAGCUAAUACCGCAUACCAUCAGAUUUGCCCAGAUGGGAUUAGCUUGUGGGUGGGGUAACGGCUCACCAAGGCCACGAUCCCUAACCAGUCUGAGAGGAGGACCACCACACCUGGAACUGAGACACGGUCAAGAUUCUUACGGGAGGCAGAAUUGGGGAAUAUUGCAAAAUGGGCGAAAGCCUGCUGCAGACCUGCGCGGUGUAGGAAGAAGGCCUUCGGGUGGUAAAGUACUUUCAGCGGGGAGGCGUUAACCGAAGAAGAAGCACCGGCUAACUCCGUGCCAGCAGCCGCGGUAAUAC
RNAcentral lists this ribosomal RNA (406 nucleotides) under uncultured bacterium. RNAcentral describes it as "partial 16S ribosomal RNA". It matches the Rfam family "Bacterial small subunit ribosomal RNA", at positions 30 to 526 of the family's 1533-position model. The record is from RNAcentral.